GGGUUGUAAACUUCUUUUAUUAGGGACGAUAAUGACGGUACCUAUUGAAUAAGCUCCGGCUAACUACGUGCCAGCAGCCGCGGUAAUACGUAGGGAGCAAGCGUUAUCCGGAUUUACUGGGUGUAAAGGGCGUGUAGGCGGGACUGCAAGUCAGAUGUGAAAACUAUGGGCUCAACUCAUAGCCUGCAUUUGAAACUGCAGUUCUUGAGUGCUGGAGAGGCAAAUGGAACUCCUAGUGUAGCGGUGAAAUGCGUAGAUAUUAGGAAGAACACCAGUGGCGAAGGCGAUUUGCUGGACAGUAACUGACGCUGAGGCGCGAAAGUGUGGGGAGCAAACAGGAUUAGAUACCCUGGUAGUCCACACCGUAAACGAUGGAUACUAGGUGUGGGGGGUCUAACCCCCUCCGUGCCGCAGUUAACACAUUAAGUAUCCCACCUGGGGAGUA
Molecule: ribosomal RNA, 445 nt
Filed under: uncultured bacterium
Lineage: Bacteria
Description: bacterial SSU rRNA
Rfam family: Bacterial small subunit ribosomal RNA
Source: RNAcentral